Molecule: long non-coding RNA, 471 nt
Filed under: Homo sapiens (human)
Lineage: Eukaryota; Metazoa; Chordata; Mammalia; Primates; Hominidae
Description: non-protein coding GAS5:76
Rfam family: Small nucleolar RNA SNORD77 (bases 319-386)
Source: RNAcentral
CUUUUCGAGGUAGGAGUCGACUCCUGUGAGGUAUGGUGCUGGGUGCAGAUGCAGUGUGGCUCUGGAUAGCACCUUAUGGACAGUUGUGUCCCCAAGGAAGGAUGAGAAUAGCUACUGAAGUCCUAAAGAGCAAGCCUAACUCAAGCCAUUGGCACACAGGUGAGACACCUCUAUUUUGUACUUCUCACUUUUAAGGGAUUAGAAAAUAGCCAAAGCAAUGAUGAUUAUCUAUGUUAGUGCUUCUCUCCCCUCUUUUCAAAUGAGAAUUUUGCUCUCAUAUUGAUACUAAGUUUAAUACUGAAGAAAAUGUGAAAACAGAUACUAUGAUGGUUGCAUAGUUCAGCAGAUUUAAUCAUGAAGAGAUGUACUAUCUGUCUGAUGUAUCUGGGGUAGUUGUGGUUUGCUGUUAAUGGUUAAGCAGUGUACCACCAAUCUACCAUUAAAAUAUUUUUUGCUGACAAUUUUGUAUUA